This 423-nucleotide ribosomal RNA is filed under the name Triticum aestivum (bread wheat). Its description in RNAcentral is "partial small subunit ribosomal RNA". Lineage: Eukaryota; Viridiplantae; Streptophyta; Magnoliopsida; Poales; Poaceae. The record is from RNAcentral.
AUGACUAGGGAUAACCUUAGGAAGAGACAUAUUAUCAAACCUCUUGACUGCGUUUACUGCAUUGAGGCAGAAACAAACGCACACUUGUUCUUUGAAUGUGUAGUAGCUAAACAGGUCUCUGCCUUUUUCGAGACAAAUGUGGGACUUGAUUAUGAAUCGAUUGCUAAAAUUUGGGUAGCUAAUAGCAAGCACUCUGCGCUUAAUACAGUUAAUGCAGCUGUUCUUUGGUGUCUUUGGAAAUAUAGGAACUCUAUUAUUUCCAAUAACACUUUGUGGACCUCGAUUAAACAGGUGCUGAGGCUAAUCCUCAACACAAUUAAAAACUGGACAAUCUUGUCCUCAGGAAAGACUGCAGAGAGGCUGGAGGCCUUCUCAGGGCAUCUUGCAAGCUUUCUGCGCUGCCCCUUGUUGAUCAGUGGCUGA